This 485-nucleotide ribosomal RNA is filed under the name uncultured bacterium. RNAcentral's name for it is "bacterial SSU rRNA". It matches the Rfam family "Bacterial small subunit ribosomal RNA", at positions 28 to 512 of the family's 1533-position model. The record is from RNAcentral.
GAUGAACGCUAGCGGCAGGCUUAAUACAUGCAAGUCGUGGGGCAGCAUGAGUAGCAAUACUUGAUGGCGACCGGCAAACGGGUGAGGAACACGUACACAACCUUCCUUCAAGCGGGGAAUAGCCCAGAGAAAUUUGGAUUAAUACCCCAUAAUAUAUUUGAUAAGGCAUCUUAUUAAUAUUAAAGCUUCGGCACUUGAUGAUGGGUGUGCGGCUGAUUAGAUAGUUGGCGGGUAACGGCCACCAAGUCUACGAUCAGUAGCUGAUGUGAGAGCAUGAUCAGCCACACGGGCACUGAGACACGGGCCCGACUCCUACGGGAGGCAGCAGUAAGGAAUAUUGGACAAUGGACGAAAGUCUGAUCCAGCCAUGCCGCGUGAAGGAUUAAGGUCCUCUGGAUUGUAAACUUCUUUAUAUGGGACAAAAAGGGCAUUCUUGUUCACUUGACGGUACCAUAUGAAUAAGCACCGGCUAACUCCGUGCCAGC